RNAcentral lists this transfer RNA (72 nucleotides) under Ictidomys tridecemlineatus (thirteen-lined ground squirrel). RNAcentral's name for it is "Spermophilus tridecemlineatus (thirteen-lined ground squirrel) tRNA". It matches the Rfam family "tRNA". Rfam says of the family: Transfer RNA (tRNA) molecules are approximately 80 nucleotides in length. Their secondary structure includes four short double-helical elements and three loops (D, anti-codon, and T loops). Further hydrogen bonds mediate the characteristic L-shaped molecular structure. tRNAs have two regions of fundamental functional importance: the anti-codon, which is responsible for specific mRNA codon recognition, and the 3' end, to which the tRNAs corresponding amino acid is attached (by aminoacyl-tRNA synthetases). tRNAs cope with the degeneracy of the genetic code in two manners: having more than one tRNA (with a specific anti-codon) for a particular amino acid; and 'wobble' base-pairing, i.e. permitting non-standard base-pairing at the 3rd anti-codon position. Lineage: Eukaryota; Metazoa; Chordata; Mammalia; Rodentia; Sciuridae. The record is from Rfam by way of RNAcentral.
AGGGUUGUGGCUCAGUGGUAGAGCACUUGUCUAACAUGCAUGAGGCACUGGGUUCAAUCUCCAGUAUCACAU